AAUUUUUUAUUGUGAUUAAAAAAGUUUUUGGCUAA
RNAcentral lists this transfer RNA (35 nucleotides) under Meloidogyne floridensis. RNAcentral describes it as "partial tRNA-His". The record is from RNAcentral. Lineage: Eukaryota; Metazoa; Nematoda; Chromadorea; Rhabditida; Meloidogynidae.